UUGAGAGUUGAUUCUGUUCCUAUUUUUCAUUCAUAUCAUGCCCAAAAAAUGUAUCAUCAUCUAAUUAACUCUUUUGAACACUAUGAAUGCUCUAUUUUUUGAGUGAAUGAUUUUCGUUGCUGUUUACACAUAUAAUAUCAGUUUUGUGUGACGAAAGGAAACGCAACUUGAUAAGAACGUGGCAAAGAACCGUGACUCUGUUUAUAUGGUGAAUGCGGCAAUUUAUUCAUUCUGGAAACAUGUACCUUCACAAGCAUCGGUGGUUCAGUGGUAGAAUGUUCGCCUGCCACGCGGGAGUUAAUUCCAUUAAUUGUACAUAUGCAAUUUUUAAAGGAAAUAAAACGAUUGAGAACAAUGACAAAGCUGAAUUCGUGAACGAUGUGCUUUAUUGAACUCUUUGAAACUGAACUAAAGUAAAUGUGCAUGUUACAACUAUUUAUAAGAAUUUGGCUUAUCAAUAUUCGUGCUCAAAUAUGAUCAUGCAUUGAUUUAGAAAAAUGUAUAUUUGUGUAUGAAUAGUGUGCAUUGUUUAAGAAAAACUUAAUUAACUCAUGUGAAUGCGGUGUUACAAUAAUUUCAUUAUUUCGAAUAUUGGUCAUUCACAAUUUGUCAAGGUAUUCUUUUUAAUCCAGAAAUCCCUUCCUUUUCGAUCAAACAUUCAAUUUCCUGAAUCAAACCUAAUGUUUUUGUAACGACAAGUGACGGCAAUUCAAAAUCGUGCUCAGAUGUCUAUUGUGCCCAAAUACAAUUCGUAAUUCGAUACUUUAAUUGAUCGAAAUAAUAUCAAUUUACAUUGUCAAUCAUUGAUUAUGUAACCAUUGAAGUUUCACAUCAACUGUGACGGCUAAAAUAUCGUCUGUGAAUCUUUCGUGUGACACAAUUGUUUUCUUUCUUCAUCAAGUAAUAAAUUAAAUUUUGAAAAAUCGAAAUAUUGCCAAAAAUCGUUGAUAAGGAUUUCGUUUAGUUUUGAAGAGUUUCGUGUUCUUCCAGAAAAAAGGAUUUUCCAAGGUUGUUGUGCCAAUUACAUCAAGGCCAAGAUGAAUGGGUUAGAUAGUUGCAACAAAAAAAUGCAAGAGCUGAGAACACUACUAACUGAAGUCAAUAAAAUAGCUUACACAGUUCAAAGCACCUCUACCUAUGCACAAAACAACUAUGCAUCUUCUGCGGUUCGUGACAUCCAACGGCGCAGCAGAGAUAGGGAAUAUGAAUGGGGCUUCAAAAGGGUUCAAAAAGAAUUGGAUCGUGUUCAAGAGCUGAAUCAUCAUAUGCUAGAGAAGCUAGAGAGGCUCAAAAGAAUCACUGAAAAGAAAACCAACCAGAAUUACUAUUCUAGUCACAUUCAAUGAACUCUGUUGUUUUGAUUCGUGUUUGACCAAUUUGUGUAACGUAUUAUAACAUUUUUGGAAAAUAAUUCAACACAAAAAAUUCAUUUUCAAAAAAUUCACUUUCAAAAAUUAAUCAUUCUGAAUAUUGUUCAUACAUCACUAUCUGUGUGAUGGUGCGUGUCAAAAUAUAUCGAUGAGAAACUAAAACCAAUGCAUUUCAUUUCGCAUUCUCUCGAACGCAUCACACAGAAAGAAUCUAAGGAAUGACAACAUAACAACAGUUGCCAAUAGAAAUCAAUAGAAUUCCGAUGGAUAGUGGCAGUUACAACAGAAAAUUAAGAGAAUUGAGAAGCUUAGUUGUGGAAGCUGAUGCAUCGGUUCAUUGUGCCCAAAUAUACGCCACUCAUGUGCGGAAAAACUAUGUGUCUUCCUUGAAUCGCAAUAUUCCGCGCCAUGAAGAUAGAGAAAAUAAAUGGAUCAUCAGAAUGAUUGCAAAAGAGUUGGAACAUGUUCAAGAGCUAAAUAAUCUAAUGCAAGAGAGCUUGAAUAAUUUCACACAAAAAUAGAUCAAUCGUUUUUAGGAAAGAAAAAUACAUGUAUAGCUAGAUAAAAAUGGUGCAGUUUUGAAAAUAAAUUAACUCUUAUUUGUGAAAUA
This is a long non-coding RNA of Sitodiplosis mosellana (orange wheat blossom midge), 1980 nucleotides long. RefSeq lists it as uncharacterized. The transcript is spliced from 4 exons. NCBI's taxonomy places the organism in Eukaryota, Metazoa, Arthropoda, Insecta, Diptera, Cecidomyiidae. The record is from RefSeq and is a predicted model, not a curated record.